RNAcentral lists this ribosomal RNA (505 nucleotides) under uncultured soil bacterium. RNAcentral describes it as "bacterial SSU rRNA". It matches the Rfam family "Bacterial small subunit ribosomal RNA", at positions 26 to 521 of the family's 1533-position model. The record is from RNAcentral.
AGAUUGAACGCUGGCGGCAGGCUUAACACAUGCAAGUCGAGCGGGGAAGGGUAGCUUGCUACCUAACCUAGCGGCGGACGGGUGAGUAAUGCUUAGGAAUCUGCCUAUUAGUGGAGGACAACAUUCCGAAAGGAAUGCUAAUACCGCAUACGUCCUACGGGAGAAAGCAGGGGAUCUUCGGACCUUGCGCUAAUAGAUGAGCCUAAGUCGGAUUAGCUAGUUGGUGGGUAAAGGCCUACAAGGCGACGAUCUGUAGCGGGUCUGAGAGGAUGAUCCGCCACACUGGGACUGAGACACGGCCCAGACUCCUACGGGAGGCAGCAGUGGGAAUAUGGACAGUGGGCGGAAGCCUGAUCCAGCCAUGCCGCGUGUGUGAAGAGGUCCGUUUUGGUGUAAAGCUAUUAAGCGAGGAGGAGCUACGUCUAGUUAAUACCGUAGAGUAGUAGUAGUACGUUACUCGACGAGAACGUAAGACCUACCGGCUAACUCGUGUAGCCAGCACGGA